RNAcentral lists this ribosomal RNA (492 nucleotides) under uncultured bacterium. Its description in RNAcentral is "partial 16S ribosomal RNA". It matches the Rfam family "Bacterial small subunit ribosomal RNA", at positions 29 to 507 of the family's 1533-position model. The record is from RNAcentral.
AGUGAACGCUGGCGGUAGGCCUAACACAUGCAAGUCGAACGGCAGCACAGUAAGAUCUUGCUCUUACGGGUGGCGAGUGGCGGACGGGUGAGGAAUACAUCGGAAUCUACUUUUUCGUGGGGGAUAACGUAGGUAAACUUACUCUAAUACCGCAUACGACCUACGGGUGAAAGCAGGGGAUCUUCGGACCUUGCGCGAUUGAAUGAGCCGAUGUCGGAUUAGCUAGUUGGCGGGGUAAAGGCCCACCAAGGCGACGAUCCGUAGCUGGUCUGAGAGGAUGAUCAGCCACACUGGAACUGAGACACGGUCCAGACUCCUACGGGAGGCAGCAGUGGGGAAUAUUGGACAAUGGGCGCAAGCCUGAUCCAGCCAUACCGCGUGGGUGAAGAAGGCCUUCGGGUUGUAAAGACCUUUUGUUGGGAAAGAAAAGCAGCAGGUUAAUACCCCGCUGUUCUGACGGUACCCAAAGAAUAAGCACCGGCUAACUUCGUG